GACGAACGCUGGCGGCGUGCCUAAUACAUGCAAGUUGAGCGCUGAAGGUUGGUACUUGUACCAACUGGAUGAGCAGCGAACGGGUGAGAAACGCGUGGGGAAUCUGCCUUUGAGCGGGGGACAACAUUUGGAAACGAAUGCUAAUACCGCAUAAAAACUUUAAACACAAGUUUUAAGUUUGAAAGAUGCAAUUGCAUCACUCAAAGAUGAUCCCGCGUUGUAUUAGCUAGUUGGUGAGGUAAAGGCUCACCAAGGCGAUGAUACAUAGCCGACCUGAGAGGGUGAUCGGCCACAUUGGGACUGAGACACGGCCCAAACUCCUACGGGAGGCAGCAGUAGGGAAUCUUCGGCAAUGGACGAAGGUCUGACCGAGCAACGCCGCGUGAGUGAAGAAGGUUUUCGGAUCGUAAAACUCUGUUGGUAGAGAAGAACGUUGGUGAGAGUGGAAAGCUCAUCAAGUGACGGUAACUACCCAGAAAGGGACGGCUAACUACGUG
Molecule: ribosomal RNA, 497 nt
Filed under: uncultured bacterium
Lineage: Bacteria
Description: partial 16S ribosomal RNA
Rfam family: Bacterial small subunit ribosomal RNA
Source: RNAcentral